RNAcentral lists this ribosomal RNA (513 nucleotides) under uncultured bacterium. RNAcentral describes it as "partial 16S ribosomal RNA". It matches the Rfam family "Bacterial small subunit ribosomal RNA", at positions 29 to 523 of the family's 1533-position model. The record is from RNAcentral.
AACGAACGCUGGCGGCAUGCUUAACACAUGCAAGUCGAACGUGAAAGUGGGCUUCGGCCCGCGAGUAAAGUGGCGCACGGGUGAGUAACACGUGGAUAAUCUACCCGAUGAUCUGGAAUAACACUUCGAAAGGGGUGCUAAUACCGGAUAAGCUCACGACGUCUUCGGACGAUGUGGGAAAAGGGGGCUUCGGCUCCUGUCAUCGGAUGAGUCCGCGGCCCAUUAGCUAGUUGGUAGGGUAAUGGCCUACCAAGGCGACGAUGGGUAGCGGGUCUGAGAGGAUGAACAGCCACACUGGAACUGAGCCACGGUCCAGACUCCUACGGGAGGCAGCAGUGGGGAAUUUUGCGCAAGGGGCGAAAGCCUGACGCAGCAAUGCCGCGUGAGUGAUGAAGGCCUUCGGGUCGUAAAGCUCUGUCAGAGGGGGAGAAACUCCUGCCGGUUAAUACCCGGCGGGCCUGACGGUACCCUCAAAGGAAGCACCGGCUAACUCCGUGCCAGCCGCCGCGGUAA